CGUAGGGUGCAAGCGUUAAUCGGAAUUACUGGGCGUAAAGCGUGCGCAGGCGGUUAUAUAAGACAGAUGUGAAAUCCCCGGGCUCAACCUGGGAACUGCAUUUGUGACUGUAUAGCUAGAGUACGGUAGAGGGGGAUGGAAUUCCGCGUGUAGCAGUGAAAUGCGUAGAUAUGCGGAGGAACACCGAUGGCGAAGGCAAUCCCCUGGACCUGUACUGACGCUCAUGCACGAAAGCGUGGGGAGCAAACAGGA
RNAcentral lists this ribosomal RNA (252 nucleotides) under uncultured Acidovorax sp. RNAcentral's name for it is "partial 16S ribosomal RNA". It matches the Rfam family "Bacterial small subunit ribosomal RNA", at positions 526 to 777 of the family's 1533-position model. Lineage: Bacteria; Pseudomonadati; Pseudomonadota; Betaproteobacteria; Burkholderiales; Comamonadaceae. The record is from RNAcentral.